Bos taurus (domestic cattle) is the source of this 1763-nucleotide long non-coding RNA. Lineage: Eukaryota; Metazoa; Chordata; Mammalia; Artiodactyla; Bovidae. The record is from Ensembl.
CAUUCACUUAUCCUAAUUCCUCUCUCCCACCCCAGUCCCUUUCCUUGAUAAAGGAGCUAAAGAUCAGAAGUUGGCAUCCGCUGGGCGGGGCAGGGCCUGCAGAUUGGCUCAACCUGGAUGCAGGCUGCACUCAGGGCAGGAAAUAAGGGGCAGCCCUGAUCCACGCGCAAUGACCAUGUGGCUGGGAGGCAGGGGACAGGCUGGAGGAGAUGUGGCUGGGAUCCACGCUCACGAUGGACCUGCCGGGUCUCCCACAUCCCAGCAGGUGUAAAGAGUGCUCUCGGGAGUCACCUCAGUUUCAACGUGGGACUCAAAAGCCUUCAAAGCAAAGAGCCUUUUAGAGGAAGAUGCUGGUCCCUGGAGGAGACCAUGUCCUGGACUGGACUCUGAAGCUGACACGGGAGGAAAACGGGCAGGGAACAACCUUUGGAAGAAUGACACAGCCACAGGACAUGACGGAAAUGGACAGAACCAAUGAGGCCCAAGAUGCUGGAUGAGAAUUCCACUAGACCUUGAGCCUCAGAUUUUGCCGUCAAGCUCGCACAGGAUGAGUGAGAGCACCUUGCAGAACCAGAAUCAUGUAUCAGCUUACAAGAAAGGCUUGAGCCACACUGCCCUGUUGAAGUCCCAGCCCCGCUCUGCACUCCUGUGUGACUACCUGUUGCCUUGGCCUCUUCAUCUGCAACGUGGGGGUGACAGCAGGACUCUGGUCCCAGGGUUGCUGGUGAUUAAGAGGAGGUGGAUGCACAGUACUUGUAGCAGCCAUUGUCACUAUGUUGUAAGGUGCUGCACAGGACAAGGAGGAGGACAAGGAGCAGGCCUUGGACGCAGAGGCAGAGUGAGGGCUCUGCUGCGUCUACAUGGAGGGGAGGAGCCAGCCCAGUUCAGUUCUGCCCUGAACUCCAAGUCCAGGCUUUAAAAAAGGAGCCAUAAAAAUGCCAUCUCACUGACGAAGGUCUGGAGCCCUUGACCACCCUGGAAAAACAUCACCUCCGCCCUGCCAAUAUUUAUCUCUUCAGCUUGCUUCUGGCCAAAGUCCACACCAGGCGUGAUUCUACUGCUUGCAGAGCCUUACCACUGACGUCCCUGUACUGAGGGGCUCUGACUGGAGGAGAUAAGCCCAGAGGGGCAGCUGUGUGGAUGCUGUCUCUUGUCACAAAAGAGCCAGCUUGGAAAGGGCAGACAGGCUGGGCUGGCUCCAGAGGUUGGCAACUGACCUUUGUAAGGAAGAGUCAAGAGUCAGAUUCCGUGUCAGAAAGUUAAGAUUACAGAACUCUAAGAAGGAAUUGGAUUCUUUCUCCUCCUUACCCACCUCCCAGUGUAUCAUCUCACCUUGUUUGGCCUGAACUAUUCCAGUGAUUUAAAGCAUUCCUGGGGCUGUCAUAUGACCUCUUCUGAUCCUCACAACCACCCCACAUGGCAGGUGUUGGUGUCAAUGUCCUCAAAUGAGAAAACUGAAAGUCAGAGGACUCAUCUGACUUUGCAGAGGUCCCCAGGAUUCUAGAUGGCAUAGCUCAACUCCUAGACCAGAGCCCUUUCUGCUACAGAAACACGGACUCAUCACCUGCUCAGAGCAGAUGAGCAAAGAGCAAAUCGACACCCUCAGGACCCUGCUCAGGCAAGAUACACUGAGCACUCUACAAGCAGAAGGGAGAGCAGCAGGUCCCAGAGCUUGGGUGGGCUGGGGGAUGGCUAUCAUGUGGGUUUUUCUGUCUCAUUUACUCUACUAGUUUUCCCAAAAGGAUUCCACCAAUACAAAUACU